GACGAACGCUGGCGGCGUGCUUAACACAUGCAAGUCGAACGCUGAAGCUUGGUGCUUGCACUGGGUGGAUGAGUGGCGAACGGGUGAGUAAUACGUGAGUAACCUGCCCUUGACUCUGGGAUAAGCCUGGGAAACUGGGUCUAAUACUGGAUACGACAUGCCACUGCAUGGUGGUGUGUGGAAAGGGUUUUACUGGUUUUGGAUGGGCUCACGGCCUAUCAGCUUGUUGGUGGGGUAAUGGCCUACCAAGGCGACGACGGGUAGCCGGCCUGAGAGGGUGACCGGCCACACUGGGACUGAGACACGGCCCAGACUCCUACGGGAGGCAGCAGUGGGGAAUAGUGCACAAUGGGCGGAAGCCUGAUGCAGCGACGCCGCGUGGGGGAUGACGGCCUUCGGGUUGUAACCCUCUUUCAGCACGGAAGAAGCGAGAGUGACGGUACGUGCAGAAGAAGCGCCGGCUAACUACGUG
RNAcentral lists this ribosomal RNA (472 nucleotides) under uncultured bacterium. RNAcentral's name for it is "partial 16S ribosomal RNA". It matches the Rfam family "Bacterial small subunit ribosomal RNA", at positions 28 to 507 of the family's 1533-position model. The record is from RNAcentral.